CCUACGGGAGGCAGCAGUGGGGAAUAUUGGGCAAUGGGCGCAAGCCUGACCCAGCAACGACGCGUGAAGGAAGAAGGCUUUCGGGUUGUAAACUUCUUUUGACAGGGAAGAGCAGAAGACGGUACCUGUCGAAUAAGCCACGGCUAACUACGUGCCAGCAGCCGCGGUAAUACGUAGGUGGCAAGCGUUGUCCGGAUUUACUGGGGGUAAAGGGCGUGUAGCCGGGCUGACAAGUCAGAUGUGAAAUCCGGGGGCUCAACCCCCGAACUGCAUUUGAAACUGUUGGGCUUGAGUAUCGGAGAGGCAGGCGGAAUUCCUAGUGUAGCGGUGAAAUGCGUAGAUAUUAGGAGGAACACCAGUGGCGAAGGCGGCCUGCUGGACGACAACUGACGGUGAGGCGCGAAAGCGUGGGGAGCAAACAGGAUUAGAUACCCUUGUAGUC
Molecule: ribosomal RNA, 442 nt
Filed under: uncultured bacterium
Lineage: Bacteria
Description: partial 16S ribosomal RNA
Rfam family: Bacterial small subunit ribosomal RNA
Source: RNAcentral